Molecule: ribosomal RNA, 406 nt
Filed under: uncultured bacterium
Lineage: Bacteria
Description: partial 16S ribosomal RNA
Rfam family: Bacterial small subunit ribosomal RNA
Source: RNAcentral
AUUGAACGCUGGCGGCAGGCCUAACACAUGCAAGUCGAGCGAGCGGCGGACGGGUGAGUAAUGUCUGGAAAACUGCCUGAUGGGGGGGGAUAACUACUGGAAACGGUAGCUAAUACCGCAUACCAUCAGAUGUGCCCAGAGUGGAUUAGCUAGUGGGUGGGGUAACGGCUCACAUGGGCGACGAUCCCUAGCUGGUCUGAGAGGAUGACCAGCCACACUGGAACUGAGACACGGUCCAGACUCCUACGGGAGGCAGCAGUGGGGAAUAUUGCACAAUGGGCGCAAGCCUGAUGCAGCAAUGCCGCGUGUGUGAAGAAGGCCUUCGGGUCGUAAAGCACUUUCAGCGGGGAGGCGUUACCCGCAGAAGAAGCACCGGCUAACUCCGUGCCAGCAGCCGCGGUAAUUC